Long non-coding RNA from Gallus gallus (chicken), 746 nucleotides. NCBI's taxonomy places the organism in Eukaryota, Metazoa, Chordata, Aves, Galliformes, Phasianidae. The record is from Ensembl.
GGAAACCAUACUUAAAGCCAAGCAAUGUUUAUUCAAGCCCUUGGCAGAGCCCGUGGCCACGUGGUAGGCGAGUAAUAUCGUUCUGCAACUCAAGUUUAGCAGAGUAUGAGAACUGCUCAACAGCUUUUGCAAGGGCUGUCAGAGACUUCGGGAAUGGCUUGAUACUGGGCUAAAGCUCCACCUAGGCACUCCACACGCCUUAGGAAUUCCAACAAUUUGCAGCUCUCUGAUCCCGGGAAUGCUGAGAAGCCUGCACAGCAGAGGGACAACAGCGUGGGGAGAUCACAGACAACGUCACGUUGCUGAAAAACAACAUGCUUCUAGAAAAAAAACAGAAAGUCUCAGCAUUCUCUGCUUCAGAUUCCUCCAUUCCUCAGGCACCACCCUGAUUCAUAAUCUCAGGAAAGGAGAUAAUAAUGAUCUUGCAGACCUGCAUGAUGACUGACUUUGCUGUGGAUUUUCCAGCCCAAUUGAUUGCCCACCUUCUGGCAGUUCAGUUCUCUGCUCACCCUUCCCAGACUGGCCACAGAGUUUCAGCACCUCCCUUAUGCCCACUCACCCAUGUUUUUAACUUUUGGUGAGCCCUUCACAAGAAGCUACCAAAGUCUCCAGCAGCUACUUGUGGCAUUACGCCUACUCACUGAACAGCAGCAAACACCACUCUAUUGAAAGACAUUGGAAUGAACUGUGACACUUUUUGCUGUUUUGGCAAACGGGAUGGUUUCAAACCAAACUAGAAAUACCUG